GCCUCCAGAGACUCGCCCCGUGUUGGGCUGCCGGGAGCUCGUCUUCAGAAACCUCUCCAAGAUCCUUCCCGCCGUCUGUCACGACAUCACCGACUGGGUGCCGGGGACCAGGGUGAAGGCCGCGCAGCUGCUGGCGGUGUUGCUCUUGCAUGCGGAGGACCACAGCACGCAGCACCUGGACACCAUCCUCCGGGUGCUGCCCCGCGCCUGCGCCGACGACGACCCGGCCGUGGUCCGCAGCUGCACCAGAUCUGCAGAGCUGGUUGGGGUGUUCGUCAGCCCAGAAGUGUUUCUGAAGCUGAUCUUGUCCACGCUGAAGAAGUCGCCCUCCGCCUCCGGCCUCCUGGUCCUCGCUUCUGUCAUCCGAGGCUGCCCUAGGGAGGCCCUCCAGCCGCACCUGAAGGUCAUCGCCGCAGAGCUGGCCCGGCCCCACAUCUGUCAAGGGUCUGAAAACGCUCGGGCUGAGGAACCAGCCGCAGUGAAAACCCAAGAUGCGCAUUCUGCCCCUUUCCUCACAGACUCAGACGUUUAGCAAACGGGACGAACACUCAGGUUUAGGCACAGGCACCAGACGCAGCCCUGUUCUCCCCGGGGCAGGAGAGUCUGGUGCAGCCGUGGUGACGGGAAGCAGUGCGAGCUUUCUGCAGUCCUUCCCCAGGAGCUGGGAGGACGGGCUGCGGACGUCUUUCAAGAACACACUGAGGCGUAGAAACUCCCCGUCAGCCAGACAGAGGAGCCCCGAGGGCACUGCCAGGCCGCUCCGCGCGGGGCCUCCUGUGCUGCAGGGAGGGGUCGAGGCAGGUGCUUCCCCAGGUGUGUCUGGCCAGUGCUGCACCUGGGACUGAGCUGAGGGAAUCGGAUCCUUUCCUUUGAAAUGUCUGUUUUGUGACAGGUAACUGAGCUGAGGAAAUAGUUUGAUACCAUACGAAUAGCUCAUUUAUUCCUGCUGAACGAGCAGAAACCAGGAGUGCAGGGGCGCGGUCGCCGUAGAAACGUCAGCCUCUAGCACUUUCUCCCGUAAAGUUUGACAACCUCAGGUGACACUGAGUUUCAGGAGCAGAAACCAAGAUAUCACUUUGGAACCUGUCGCCUCCCCCCGCCUCUGUGUCCCUCUGGGGUGCAGGUGAAGGGAACAUUCUCUGCUUAAGUGGGAAGAACUCCAUGAACGCUGAGGCCCAGCUUCGCAGAGACGGUGCCGCGCUCCCCGCAUGAGGCUCCUCACUGGCUCCGGGUCCGGCGCACCCCACGACCGCCAGCCCAGACAGCCGGCCCAUGCUAAUGGUGGCUCACGUCUCAGGAGCCGAAUCCCUUCCUAACUGGAAGUGAUCCCUCCAUAAGCGUUUAGUAUAGACCGUUCUAGAGAUGAGCUGAAAUCACGUCCUCAGAAACUGGGUGGCUGCCCGUCCGGGUCUAAAAGAAAUCGGGCCGUGGGACACGUGAGAAUGUGAAUUAAACCCUGGCCUGGCUUCCCCGGGAGAGCUGCAUGCCAUCGCUCGAGGCCGUCUCCCAGCCUGCGUGUGAGCGGUCGGGCGUGUGUGGGCCGCACUCCUCUGUGAUCCAGCGUGAAUUCUUUGUUUGAAGUCCCGCGAUUCAUGUCACUUGUGCGUGAGCCACAGAAGUCCAGAACCGCCUGUGCACGGGCCCUUGUUAGUGAGACUGCGUGCGUGUACGACUUCAGUGUCAGCCCACUGCUGCGUGACCGCCGCCCAGCCUUUCUGUCCUUUGUGACACCUGUGUGAGGCUCACUUGUGGAGGGACAUAUCUGAGGAGCGAACAUGGACCUGGGCAGUAAGGAGUCCUGCCCCACGGUCGAUGAGGCUGAAGUCCAGGAGGUGAGCGGCUCGCUGGAUGGACCCGGCCGAGGUGCCCCCUGUUGUCGCCGUCCAUCAGCAAGCAUGUCCUGAACCACAGA
Molecule: non-coding RNA, 1912 nt
Organism: Leptonychotes weddellii (Weddell seal)
Lineage: Eukaryota; Metazoa; Chordata; Mammalia; Carnivora; Phocidae
Source: RefSeq, a predicted model, not a curated record